ACUAUUUUAUAUACAAGUGAAACUGCGAAUGGCUCAUUAUAUCAGCUAUAAUUUAUUUGAUGAUUCAGUCUUAGACCACUGGAUAACCGUGGUAAUUCUAGAGCUAAUACAUAAUGUCAAAUACUCCAACUCUUUCAUGGGAAGGGGGGCAUUUAUUAGAUUCAAAACCAAUAGAGUCGUAAAAAACUCUUUUUUUGGUGAUUCAUAAUAACUAAGCAUAUCGCAUUUAUAGUGGGGGGGUUUUCCCCUCUCUGGCGAAGGGUCAUUCAAAUAUCUGCCCUAUCAACUGUCGAUGGUAGUAUAGAGGCCUACCAUGGUGGUAACGGGUAACGGGGAAUUAGGGUUCGAUUCCGGAGAGGGAGCCUGAGAAACGGCUACCACUUCUAAGGAAGGCAGCAGGCGCGCAAAUUACCCAAUCCUGACACAGGGAGGUAGUGACAAUAAAUAACAAUCCAGGGCCUUUAUAGGUCUUGGAAUUGCAAUGAGUACAAUCUAAACCUCUUAACGAGGAACAAUUGGAGGGCAAGUCUGGUGCCAGCAGCCGCGGUAAUUCCAGCUCCAAUAGCGUAUAUUAAAGUUGUUGCAGUUAAAAAGCUCGUAGUUGAACUUUAGAUUCUUUGAGUAGGGGUGAGCACUGAAGAAUUUCCCAAGUAGAUAUUUUUUAUUUGGUAUGUUUUUUAAAUGUACUUUUUAAAAUAAUAUUUAUGUCAAGAAUUUUUCAUUUAAAGGUGCAAUAAAAGGAGGGGUUAAUUUUACUUGGAAGGGGGGCAACCUUUUUCCUUGUUAUUUUCUCUUCUCUCUGAAGGGGAAUCUUUUGACUCGAGAUUUUUAAUUUUUUCUUCGGGAAAAUUUAAAAGUCUCAAGUUUAUUACCUUGAAAAAAUUAGAGUGUUCAAAGCAGGCAUUUAAUUUAGCCUGAAUAUAUUAGCAUGGAAUAAUAAAAUAGGACUUUGGUUUUAUUUUGUUGGUUUCUAAAGCCAAGGUAAUGAUUAAUAGGGAUAGUUGGGGGCAUUUGUAUGGUACUGUCAGUGGUGAAAUACUUGAACCAGUGCCAGACAAACUGAUGCGAAAGCGUCUGCCAAGGAUGUUUUCAUUAAUCAAGAACGAAAGUUAGGGGAUCGAAGACGAUUAGAUACCGUCGUAGUCUUAACCAUAAACUAUGCCGACUCGGGAUCAGACAAUGUUAUAUUUUUAAUGACUUGUUUGGCACCGUAUGAGAAAUCAAAGUUUUUGGGUUCCGGGGGGAGUAUGGUCGCAAGGCUGAAACUUAAAGGAAUUGACGGAAGGGCACCACCAGGAGUGGAGCCUGCGGCUCAAUUCGACUCAACACGGGAAAACUCACCAGGUCCAGACAUAGUGAGGAUUGACAGAUUGAGAGCUCUUUCUUGAUUCUAUGGGUGGUGGUGCAUGGCCGUUCUUAGUUGGUGGAGUGAUUUGUCUGGUUAAUUCCGAUAACGAACGAGACCUUAACCUGCUAAAUAUGCAGUGUUAUUAUAAGUGAAUAUUUUUUAAAUAUUUAUUUGUAAUGAGCAAACAAAAAAUGAGUGUUCACAAUUAUUAAAGUAUAUUUUUUUCAUUUUUAAAUUUAUUUAAAUUUGGGAAAAUUAUUUUAAGUGGAUUUUUACUCAGCUUCUUAGAGGGACUAUCAGUGGUUAACUGAUGGAAGUUUGAGGCAAUAACAGGUCUGUGAUGCCCUUAGAUGUUCUGGGCCGCACGUGCGCUACACUGAUAAAGUCAACGAGUAUUGUCAUUUUUAAAGAACUUGGGGGUGAAAAUUUAUUUUCUUCCCAAGUUUGACAUUUCCUGGGCCGAAAGGUUUGGGUAAUCUUGGGAAACUUUAUCGUGCUGGGGAUAGUCCAUUGCAAUUAUUGGACUUGAACGAGGAAUUCCUAGUAAGCGCAAGUCAUCAGCUUGCGUUGAUUACGUCCCUGCCCUUUGUACACACCGCCCGUCGCUACUACCGAUUGAAUGGCUUAGUGAGGUCUUUGGACUGGCUAUAAAGGUUUGGCAACAAAUUUUUACUGCUGGGAAGUUUAU
Molecule: ribosomal RNA, 2036 nt
Filed under: Stachylina grandispora
Lineage: Eukaryota; Fungi; Kickxellomycota; Harpellomycetes; Harpellales; Harpellaceae
Description: partial 18S ribosomal RNA
Rfam family: Eukaryotic small subunit ribosomal RNA
Source: RNAcentral